RNAcentral lists this unclassified non-coding RNA (6412 nucleotides) under Schistocerca americana (American grasshopper). RNAcentral's name for it is "uncharacterized LOC124589994, transcript variant X2". The record is from RNAcentral. Lineage: Eukaryota; Metazoa; Arthropoda; Insecta; Orthoptera; Acrididae.
GAAUAAGAGGCAGAUUACCCCUAAUAUUUGUAACGCAGAUGUCAAUACAUUACAGGAAACAAACUGUUAUUCUUUUAGAAAGACUGAAUCUGAGGUUCCACAGUGCAGUUAUUUUGACACUCUGGUAUCUAAAGAAUCAGUAGCAAAUAAUACAUAUUACUUGCCUGACUAUAGUUCACAGGAAGAUGAAAUUCUUUGUAACUCAAAUUCUGUUAUUCACGAAGAACAAGUGUGUGAUUCCAAAGGACAGGAAGUGCGUAAAUCACUGCAGUUGGAAGAAACUACAGGUGCAUUUCAUUUGCCUUCGAGAGAGAAUAGAACUUUAGAUUUGAAUGAAGAUUAUAGUAUUGCAAGAGCAUUUAAAGAUAAAAUUAUAUGCCCAUUUGAGGCAAGGGAGGACAGUUUAGCACUUGAAAGGAUUAGAAAUGUACAAUCUUCAUUUGAAAAUUGUGAUAGUGCAUAUCCAAUUUUUAAUAAGCUGCCAAGGGAAGUUUUAUUGGGAGAUAAUUUGAUUGGGUAUCUUCCAUUUGUUUGUGAAAAUUUGUGGGGAAAUUUGCGUAACUUCAGUGCACAUAUUUUUGCAGAAGACAUGAUGGAGGGGAUAAAUAUGACCGACAGUUUGGAUGGAGCUAAUUUAUGCAGACAGAUUGAUGUUAUUGAGGUUUCUUCACAAAACCAUGCAUUGGAUCAGACCCUGAGCACUAAUAGAUUUCUGUCAGACAGAGAUGAAAACGAUAUACUGCCUGUGGCUAAAGACUACUCUAUGGAUGCAGUAGAUGGAGUAUUUAUUGGAGUUAUUGACAAAGUUGAUACAGCCUCAGCCAUUGCAUCAUUUCAAUGGAAGGGAAAAAGUUAUGCAGCAAUUAUCUCCAAGAAGAAAAUUGAAUAUAGAGGGAGGAAAGUAGGAAGGAAAUUGAAUGUUGAUGAACUGCUUGUCACUGGUCAACAUGUGACACUACAUAUUAAAAGUAAUUUAAAAAGUAAACAAGGCAAUUUAAUUAGCUCUCGUGUGAUAUUAGAUGUAGAGAAGGGAGAGGAGUUGCAGGAGAAGAAUUACUUUAUGUCUCCCCUAUACCUAGCUGCCAUGAACAACUCAUUAGGACUUACUUCCAUCCAUGCCACUAUUGAAUCAGUUUUUGAUACAUGGGGAACAUUGUCCUUAGUGGGAGACGAGUGUAAUCAAAAGGCAAUUUUUGUUAGUGAGAAUGUGUAUAUUAAUGAUUUUAAUGUCCCUAAAGAAUGCCCUUUAAAUGUAGUUCUUUACAAAGGGAUGCCUGCUGUAUGUGGUGUGAAUUCACGCAGUUGUGACAUUAAUAUUAAAUUGUUUUUGUUUGUUGGAGAAAUUGUGGAACUGGCGAACAAUGUAGGUAUAAUCUCAUUUUUCAGGAGAGGUAACAAGGAAAAAGCAGUUAUUUUAACUGAAAAUUUGUAUUUCAACAGAGAAAAAUUUGCUUCCUCUGAUUUACAUGAUGUUCUGCAGUUAAAGGAAAAGGUGGCUUUUUUGUGUAUACCAUCUGAAACAAGUGAAAUAAGAUUCAAAGCAACUUAUUUGCUUCUCUGCAAUGAUAGAGAAAACGAUUCUGUAACUUUUGAUACUUUUAAAGAUCACUAUCAUUAUUUUAUUGAUUUACUUUCCAGUUGUCAAAUGAAAUGUGAGAAUAGAGUUCACAGUACUGUUGAGAUGCCCAGUGUUCCAUAUAAUACAACAAACAAACCACCUGAUUUUAACAUGUUUAUAAAAAGUGAGGCUAACUUCAAACAAGCAUCUCAAUCAUUUAUGCAAAGUUUGACUCAUUUCAAGAAGUGCAACAUGUCAGAAGAGCUUCAGGAAAACAAUAAUUACCGCUCUGUGUUAAAUGAUUUGGGAACAGCUUUGGUGUUUGGUGGUUUGUUGUGGAAAGAAUACAUUAGCAACAAAUUUGACACAGAAGCAUCAUCAGCACUCCAAUUAAAUGCUGUUCGUUUCAUUGACAUUACUGGGACUGUUUAUGAAGAAGGAAUUCUAAUGUCUGGAGAAAUGAAGAUCUUAUUUCACCUAAAUGAUGUGUAUGUGAAUGGUGAAAAGUGCACAGUUUUACCAGUGGGUGCAGAGUUGCAUUGCACUGCUACAGAAUUGCCACACCGUGGCUGUCAUGGUGAAACACAUUUUGCUUGGUGCCUUUGGCAAGGAACAAGGCCAGAUGUGCAGCAUGUAUUCAGUGUGUUUGAGUUCAAAAAAUCUGAUGCAGUAACACUAAAGGAAAAUAAGCAGUACAAAGGACAAGUUGUAGCCAUAUAUCCACCACGUGCUGCUCUUGUUAGGCUAUACAUUGGAGGGAGUAUAGUACCAGUUGUAGUGUUUUCCAAUUUUCUGCAAGACAGAGAGUGUCCAUUCAAUUUUGAGGGUAAUCAUUGGAUAAUUGAUUAUAUUAGUAUUGCUGACUGUGUGAGUGUUUCAGUUCAACCAACAAAGAAAUCCAACAAAGUUGCAAAACUUGGCUACCAGUGGACUGCAGUAAGUGCCAGAAAGAGCUGUUCUUGUGAAAUCAAGCCUCAGAAUACAAUGAUUCUUAGCAGGUGCAAAAGAAACCCAUACAAUGGCAAUGUUUCUUUUCUCUAUAAGUCUUUUGCUGUAGUUACAUUUGAUACAGAUGAAGGCUGCAAGUUUGGUUUUUUCAUAAAGGAUUUUGGCAUGAUUAAUAAUGAACCUAUUGGUUCAAAUGUGGCACUCUCUGCUGUAUUGACACACAAUUCUUCUGUUACAUUCCAGAAGGAUUCAAUUUACUUUGUUAAUGAGAACAUAUAUUACAUUUCAGUCAUCUAUGUGAGUGGAUUAGAAAGGAAAAUAAGCUCAAAGUGUAAUACAUGCAGCAUUUGUAGUAAAAAGAUUGAUAAACUGGUGGAUUUUCCAGUUGUUAAACAUUUGAAUGCAGUGAGUGGUGUAUUGAUUGACUUCAGAGACGAUGAUGGACUUAUUGAAUGUGGAAUGUACAAAGCAGUGUUUCACAAAUCAAGACUUUUUCUUUCGGGGAAAAAAAUAGGGAGUAGUCAAGUGUUAGGCGAUGUGAUCUGUAAAGGAAUGACAUUUCACUUUGUUGCAGUUGUAUCAGAAGGAGAGUGGUAUGGUUUACACACUAGUCAUAUUUGUGUAUGCGUUUGGGAUUCUCAAAAACCAACUAUUAGUACUAUUAUGGAAUCUUACAUAACUGAUGCUGCAGAUGGGGACAUGCUUAAGGAAAAUGUUGCUUACUUUGGCAUAGUGAAAGAUAUUGCACCCCCAUCAGUUGCUCUUGUCACUAUAAACACAUUUGGAAGUUCAAUACCAGUACUACUUUUUAUUUCCAGUCUGGCUGUCGGCACAGAGAGGACACUGUGUACCAGGGGUGACUGGAUAAAUGACUAUUUAAAAAUAGGUGAUAAGCUGAAAGUAAAAAUUGCAAGUAAAAUAAAGAACAGCAGAUUUAGAAUUGUCUGUAUUGCCUGGAAAACAAAUGAUGCAUUAACAGCGAAAAAUGUUGUGUGUGCUGCUGUAAAGGAGGAUACAAUUUCAUCAGAUCAAAAUUUCAGCAGUUCUAUUGAGAAUCAGAUCUUGGUCCAAACACACACUAAAGAUGAAAGUUGUGACAUGAUUGUAAACAAAGCAGGUAUUUCACUUCCUGCAGGAACUUCUAUUGACAGCUGUAUUUCUUCUGCAGACUGUAGGUCCAAAGGCAAUAAUGCUGCAUCACAGAAUAUGAAAAUUGUUCAGGAGGGGUCAUAUUUGUCUAGAGAAAAAACAAAUUCGGAACUCAAUGAUAUGGACAGUGAUACUGCAGAAGAGACAACUAUCGCACGUCCUGUGUAUAAUGCCUUUGCACAGGAUGAUCAGACAUUAGUCUCUGAUUUAGAAUCACUGGGCUCUAUGCUGGUAGUUGGUAGUUUGCUAUGGAAGGAAUUUCUAGCCAAGAAUCCAGAGACAACUAAUGACUUAUCACACUGUAGAUUUACAGAUGCGGAAGUUACUGCAAUACAACCAGUUUCAGAAACUACUGCAGUGUUAACAGUGGCUAUGUGUCCACAUGAACCAGUGCAAGCAUUUUUCAAUGAAAUAGAUGCGUACAACAUUGAUGCAAACUCAAAUGAUAAAAUAUAUUGUACAGGCAUUAAACUUCCAGAGACAGGGCGUUUCAAGGAAACUUUCGUUGUUUGGUUACUGUGGCAAGGAAUGCCACCUGCAGUGCAUGAAGUAUUUUCAGUCUUCAAGACUGAAUACUCUAAUGCUUUAGUUUUGCAAGAUAAUGUACAGUAUCUUGGAAUAAUUGUGGGCCUGUUGCCACCAUAUGUGGGUCUUAUGAAGAUUGCUGUGAGUAGUGCAGUAUCAGUGCUGGUACUAAUACAUGUAAAUGCUUUGACAGCUUGUAGAGGUAUAGCACUUAGAAAUUCAUCUGGAAGUUGGAUAAUAGAUUAUGUUAGUGUAGGAGAUGUGUUAACUGUAAGCAUUGAAAGUACAAAAAAUGUAUCCCUUAAGGAAAUUGGCAUCCAUUGGCGUGUGAAGAAAGUGUGGGACAACAACAUUGUAAAUGUGUCGUCACUUACUCUAGUGGAUGAUACGUGUACAUUUAGAGGAGUGGUUACCGCUGUGUACAACGAAUUUGGUGUAGUAACAUUUGAAACUGGAGGGUAUCUCAAGAGGGCACUGUUCUUCAAAGAUCAAACAAGUAUGAACUGGCAAGAAUUGAAAGCAGUUGUUACCUCAAAGGGAAAUUAUGAAGUUUCAUUUCAUGUAAAACCAGAGUGUUUUAAUCCAAAAUCUAUUCUUUGGCUUGCUUCAAAUGUUAUAAGAAUUGAAGAACGUGAAAGUUGUGUUACAGAAGAUUCAUGUGUAGCUGAUGAAGUUGAUUCAUUCAUUAAAAAUAGAAAAAUUAUUGCUUUUGUGGAAAAAUUGCAGCCAGAAAUGGGUCUAGCUGUUUUCAAAUUGUGUGGUAGAUAUGAACGUGCCAGUUUUUCCUAUACAAAAAUAUUUUUUGAUGGUAGUCAAAUAGAGCCAAAGUCAGCAUUGGCCAUGCUCAGAAUCAAUAUGCGGUUGAGUAUUAAAAUCCAGAGGAUAACAAAUUCGGAACAGGGAACAGUUAAAUAUACUGCUGAGUAUGUUGAAAUAAGACCAUAUAAUGAGAUGCAUGGAAAUGGAACGAAAGUGUCAGGUGUUACCUCCCUCACUAAUUUACUUGUAAGUAAAUUAAAUGUGACAUCAGGACUGGAAGAUGACAAUCGUAGAAUUUUAAAGGGGCUAAUGGGUAAGAUCAAAUAUGACAAAUUGGGUACUGGCAUCAUAGAAUUCAGCUACAAAAAUGAGGACUAUGAAGUCCCAUUUGAUCAGUCUACUAAUGUACUAAUAACUGCACAAGGUGGUAGGAACCUUCGUGACAUAUGGCCCGCAGGUAAAAUGGUUCAUUUUAACUUACUUUGUAAUAUCAGUAUGACGAGGUUGAGUGUUGAAUGUGUUUGGGAAAACAAAAAACCCAAAAAGAUUGUUUAUAAGAAUGCUCCAGAACUCCUUUCCAUCGACAGGAACAGUAUAAAAUCUGGAGGAAUGUAUCAAGCAAAGGUUGUACUAAUCAAAAAAUUUUCCUUUGUUGCUGAAAUUGUAAUGGAAGAUGAUGUUGCAUCAGUUUUUGUUACAAAUGUUUCAUUUCAUCCAUUCUCUGAUACAAGAAAAUUGUCUCACAAUGAAUGUGUGUCAUUGCAUGUAAACAAAGGUGAUGUAGUAUAUGUUGUAGUUGAAAGAUCAAGAAAUGGUGAAGAACAUGAAUGGUUCGCUAUAGAAGCUUGGAAAGAAGCUGCAGAUCAUACACCAGUGCCGUCUGCAGGCCUGAAGGCAUUGAGAAAUUUUCAGACUGGAGAGGAAGCAAAAAUAAUAACUUUGUCACCAACAGAAGGCCAACUGCAAACUGUAGCCGGUAUAGUGCUCAGUUUUGUACAGGAGGAUGUUUAUCUUUAUGGGUUACCUCUGAAAAAUGUGGAUUUGACAGACAUUCUGACAGUAGGUGUCACAGUUAACUUUUCUGCUUCUGCAGGCAGUUCUACAGCAGGCCAAUGUGUAUUCGUGUCAAAGGUAUGGAUUGGUUGCUAUGAAAUCUUAAGUUUCGCUGAAACAUAUGGUGCAAUUGCACAGUAUCGUUCAUCAAGAGGAUGGAAGCCACAUGUGUUUGAGGGAUUGAAAUACAGUUUACUGGAGACACACCGCAUCUGAUCCCAGACAUCAGUGACUGCCAAAACUCUCUUUGUUUUGUAGUUCAGAGAUGUAAACAGUAUUGCAGACUUAACAUCAAUGAAAGAACUAGGUAAACACAGACAGGUAGAGUCUGGAAAUAUGGUGGAACAGUCAUUACAGAUCAAAGAAAAUGUUUCGGACGAUGCCUGUUCUACAGAUGACAUUUUGAAAAAUGCAAUUGGC